Molecule: long non-coding RNA, 1455 nt
Filed under: Theobroma cacao (cacao)
Lineage: Eukaryota; Viridiplantae; Streptophyta; Magnoliopsida; Malvales; Malvaceae
Description: long non-coding RNA (TCAC_LNC004141)
Source: RNAcentral
AUUUUGAUUGGAAGCUUCCUAGCGGAAUGAGGCAUGAAAAUCUAGACAUGACUGAGACCUUUGGUGUGACUGCCAGAAGGAAAGAUGAUUUAAUCCUAAUUCCCACCACUCAUAGCCAUUCAUCUGCUGAAUGAUAAUUUUCUCUGGACUGCAUAUUAGUUAUAGAAGUAGAGAUGUUUUCAUGAUCUCAAUAAAGCUCGGAGAACAUGUGAGGUAGAUUCCAGGCAGAACAUGUUUUAGGUUGCAAUAUAUUCUGUUGUGACUUAUCUGUCAAUGUUGUAUAUAUUUCUCUUGAUGGAAUAUCAUCACUCUUGGCAAGGACUUGCUGGACCAUUAUUGCCCCAUUGGCUGUUUAUUUUGUCCUACUAAAAUUGUUUAUAUCAGAAUUCAGAUUUUGCAAGUUUCUAUAGUGAGAUUGUCUAUGUUAUUAUCAUUAAAAGUAAUUUUGUGGCAAAAACAAUUACCUAUUUGUUCAAAGGUAUCAAAUAUGUUUCCAUUGCAUCUGCCCAGUAAAUCAGAUUAAUGAUUUGUACCAGGCAAUUUCAAAUCUAGGUUUGCUCGGUUUGAUAUAUAUCCAAUGUAUCAUCAACCUGAACUGAUGUUGGGUUCACAAUCUAUCAGGAUAUCUUCAGUGGGGGAAGUGAGACAUCGUCAACAAUUGUGGACUGGGCAAUGUCAGAAAUGCUGAAAAAUCCAAGGGUGCUAAGGAAGGCACAAGAUGAGGUAAGACAGGUCUUUCAUGGAAAAGGGGAUGUGAAUGAAGCAAGCAUACAUGCAUUACAAUACUUAGCAUCAGUAAUCAAGGAAACCCUGAGGUUACACCCUUCUUUCCCUCUGUUACUUCCAAGAGAAAGCCGAGAGAAUUGUGAAAUUAUGGGAUACCAGGUACCUGUCAAGACCAGUGUCAUAAUCAACGCAUGGGCGAUAGGGAGAGAUCCAAAGUAUUGGAAUGAACCUGAAACAUUUUACCCUGAAAGGUUCCUGAAUGCUUCCACUGAUUUUAAAGGAACAGAUUUUUAGUAUAUCCCGUUUGGCGCAGGAAGAAGGACGUGUCCAGGCAUCUUGUUUGCACUCCCUAACAUAGAGCUGCCUCUGGCAAAAUUGCUCUACCAUUUUAACUGGAAGCUUCCUAGUGGAAUAAGGCAUGAAAAUCUAGACAUGACUGAGACAUUUGGUGUGACUUCGAGAAGGAAAGAUGAUGUAAUCUUAAUUCCUACCACUCAUAGCCAUUCAUCUGCUGCAUGAGAAUUUUGUUUGGACUGCAUAUUAGUUAUUGUUUUAGAGAUGUUUUUAUUGUCUCAAUAAAGCUUUGAGAACAUGUGAAUCAGAUUCCAGGCAGACAUGUUUUAGGUGGCAAAAUUAUCUGUUGUGGCUUAUCUGAAAAUGUUGGCAACCCUCUUGGGAUUGUGAAGGUUUUAACGUUUGAUAAUAUCAGUUAUAUGUUAUUUGUUGAAA